GCCGCCUGCUACUUUGCCUUCUACAGCUAAACUACCCGAUUUGUCUGCUCACCCAAGCAAUGUGGAUUGCUCUCUUUGCAAUGAGCCAUCAGCUGUGAUGUCUAUUACCCCAGCGGCUGCUAUUCCAAGUCCACCUUCACCUGCAACACCUCCGUGUCCACCGUCACCUGCUGCACCUACGGGUCCUCCUCCUCCAGCUGCUACUUCA
Molecule: long non-coding RNA, 208 nt
Filed under: Nicotiana benthamiana
Lineage: Eukaryota; Viridiplantae; Streptophyta; Magnoliopsida; Solanales; Solanaceae
Description: long non-coding RNA (NBEN_LNC000557)
Source: RNAcentral